RNAcentral lists this ribosomal RNA (449 nucleotides) under uncultured bacterium. RNAcentral's name for it is "bacterial SSU rRNA". It matches the Rfam family "Bacterial small subunit ribosomal RNA", at positions 329 to 794 of the family's 1533-position model. The record is from RNAcentral.
CGCCAGACUCCUACGGGAGGCAGCAGUGGGGAAUAUUGCACAAUGGGGGAAACCCUGAUGCAGCAACGCCGCGUGAGUGAAGAAGUAUUUCGGUAUGUAAAGCUCUAUCAGCAGGGAAGAAGGAAGACGGUACCUGACUAAGAAGCCCCGGCUAACUACGUGCCAGCAGCCGCGGUAAUACGUAGGGGGCGAGCGUUAUCCGGAUUUACUGGGUGUAAAGGGAGCGUAGACGGUUAAUCAAGUCUGAAGUGAAAGCCCGCGGCUCAACUGCGGAACGGCUUUGGAAACUGAGUAACUAGAGUGCUGGAGGGGCAGGCGGAAUUCCUGGUGUAGCGGUGAAAUGCGUAGAUAUAAGGAAGAACACCAGUGGCGAAGGCGGAUUACUGGACGAUAACUGACGGUGAGGCGCGAAAGCGUGGGGAGCAAACAGGAUUAGAUACCCCGGUAUA